Molecule: ribosomal RNA, 1470 nt
Filed under: Klebsiella sp. enrichment culture clone HSL76A
Lineage: Bacteria; Pseudomonadati; Pseudomonadota; Gammaproteobacteria; Enterobacterales; Enterobacteriaceae
Description: bacterial SSU rRNA
Rfam family: Bacterial small subunit ribosomal RNA
Source: RNAcentral
GGGCGACGGAGCUACCUGCAGUCGAGCGGUAGCACAGAGAGCUUGCUCUCGGGUGACGAGCGGCGGACGGGUGAGUAAUGUCUGGGAAACUGCCUGAUGGAGGGGGAUAACUACUGGAAACGGUAGCUAAUACCGCAUAAUGUCGCAAGACCAAAGUGGGGGACCUUCGGGCCUCAUGCCAUCAGAUGUGCCCAGAUGGGAUUAGCUAGUAGGUGGGGUAACGGCUCACCUAGGCGACGAUCCCUAGCUGGUCUGAGAGGAUGACCAGCCACACUGGAACUGAGACACGGUCCAGACUCCUACGGGAGGCAGCAGUGGGGAAUAUUGCACAAUGGGCGCAAGCCUGAUGCAGCCAUGCCGCGUGUGUGAAGAAGGCCUUCGGGUUGUAAAGCACUUUCAGCGGGGAGGAAGGCGUUAAGGUUAAUAACCUUGGCGAUUGACGUUACCCGCAGAAGAAGCACCGGCUAACUCCGUGCCAGCAGCCGCGGUAAUACGGAGGGUGCAAGCGUUAAUCGGAAUUACUGGGCGUAAAGCGCACGCAGGCGGUCUGUCAAGUCGGAUGUGAAAUCCCCGGGCUCAACCUGGGAACUGCAUUCGAAACUGGCAGGCUAGAGUCUUGUAGAGGGGGGUAGAAUUCCAGGUGUAGCGGUGAAAUGCGUAGAGAUCUGGAGGAAUACCGGUGGCGAAGGCGGCCCCCUGGACAAAGACUGACGCUCAGGUGCGAAAGCGUGGGGAGCAAACAGGAUUAGAUACCCUGGUAGUCCACGCCGUAAACGAUGUCGAUUUGGAGGUUGUGCCCUUGAGGCGUGGCUUCCGGAGCUAACGCGUUAAAUCGACCGCCUGGGGAGUACGGCCGCAAGGUUAAAACUCAAAUGAAUUGACGGGGGCCCGCACAAGCGGUGGAGCAUGUGGUUUAAUUCGAUGCAACGCGAAGAACCUUACCUGGUCUUGACAUCCACAGAACUUACCAGAGAUGGAUUGGUGCCUUCGGGAACUGUGAGACAGGUGCUGCAUGGCUGUCGUCAGCUCGUGUUGUGAAAUGUUGGGUUAAGUCCCGCAACGAGCGCAACCCUUAUCCUUUGUUGCCAGCGGUUCGGCCGGGAACUCAAAGGAGACUGCCAGUGAUAAACUGGAGGAAGGUGGGGAUGACGUCAAGUCAUCAUGGCCCUUACGACCAGGGCUACACACGUGCUACAAUGGCAUAUACAAAGAGAAGCGACCUCGCGAGAGCAAGCGGACCUCAUAAAGUAUGUCGUAGUCCGGAUUGGAGUCUGCAACUCGACUCCAUGAAGUCGGAAUCGCUAGUAAUCGUAGAUCAGAAUGCUACGGUGAAUACGUUCCCGGGCCUUGUACACACCGCCCGUCACACCAUGGGAGUGGGUUGCAAAAGAAGUAGGUAGCUUAACCUUCGGGAGGGCGCUUACCACUUUUGAUUCAUGUCGGGGGAAGUGAUCAAGAUCAGCCAAAAAA